GUAUAAUAUUUAUACGUAUAACAUGGAUCCGCGUCCGAUUAACUUGUUGGCGAGGGAGACGAUCACCAAGGCAACUAUCAGGAUCCGCCCUGACAUGGUGAACGGCCCCCUUGCCACUGACAUACGGCCCGAACUCCUACGGAAGGUAGCACUGUGGAAUAUUGCACGAUGCGGGGAACCCUGAUCCAUCAACACCGCUUGAGUGAAGAAGUAUUUCGGCAUGUAAAGCUCUAUCGACAGGGAACAAAAUGACGGUACCUGACUACUAAGCCCCGGCUAACUACGUGCCACCAACCGCGGUAAUACGUACGGGGCAAACUGUAUCCGGAUUUACUGGAUGUAA
This 343-nucleotide ribosomal RNA is filed under the name bacterium HGBA4. Its description in RNAcentral is "bacterial SSU rRNA". It matches the Rfam family "Bacterial small subunit ribosomal RNA", at positions 200 to 563 of the family's 1533-position model. The record is from RNAcentral.